AGCAAAAAUACUGGGUCAUAUGGUUACUCUGCAUUUGUCCUUUCGAGUAGUUGUCAAAAUGUUUUUCAAGGCUGCUGCACUAGUUUACAUUCCUACCAGCAGA
This 103-nucleotide microRNA precursor is filed under the name Marmota monax (woodchuck). The record is from RNAcentral. Lineage: Eukaryota; Metazoa; Chordata; Mammalia; Rodentia; Sciuridae.